UGCGUAGGCGGAUUUAUAAGUCAGUGGUGAAAUCCUGAAGCUUAACUUCAGAACUGCCAUUGAUACUGUAGAUCUUGAGUACGGUUGAGGUGGGCGGAAUGUGUCAUGUAGCGGUGAAAUGCUUAGAUAUGACACAGAACACCAAUUGCGAAGGCAGCUCGCUAAGCCAUUACUGACGCUAAUGCACGAAAGCGUGGGGAGCGAACAGGAUUAGAUACCCUGGUAGUCC
This 229-nucleotide ribosomal RNA is filed under the name uncultured bacterium. RNAcentral describes it as "partial 16S ribosomal RNA". It matches the Rfam family "Bacterial small subunit ribosomal RNA", at positions 568 to 796 of the family's 1533-position model. The record is from RNAcentral.